This 500-nucleotide unclassified non-coding RNA is filed under the name Rhodotorula mucilaginosa. Its description in RNAcentral is "sequence contains 18S rRNA gene, ITS1, 5.8S rRNA gene, ITS2, 28S rRNA gene". The stretch from base 162 to 315 matches the Rfam family "5.8S ribosomal RNA". The record is from RNAcentral. Lineage: Eukaryota; Fungi; Basidiomycota; Microbotryomycetes; Sporidiobolales; Sporidiobolaceae.
GAUCAUUAGUGAAUAUAGGACGUCCAACUUAACUUGGAGUCCGAACUCUCACUUUCUAACCCUGUGCACUUGUUUGGGAUAGUAACUCUCGCAAGAGAGCGAACUCCUAUUCACUUAUAAACACAAAGUCUAUGAAUGUAUUAAAUUUUAUAACAAAAUAAAACUUUCAACAACGGAUCUCUUGGCUCUCGCAUCGAUGAAGAACGCAGCGAAAUGCGAUAAGUAAUGUGAAUUGCAGAAUUCAGUGAAUCAUCGAAUCUUUGAACGCACCUUGCGCUCCAUGGUAUUCCGUGGAGCAUGCCUGUUUGAGUGUCAUGAAUACUUCAACCCUCCUCUUUCUUAAUGAUUGAAGAGGUGUUUGGUUUCUGAGCGCUGCUGGCCUUUACGGUCUAGCUCGUUCGUAAUGCAUUAGCAUCCGCAAUCGAACUUCGGAUUGACUUGGCGUAAUAGACUAUUCGCUGAGGAAUUCUAGUCUUCGGAUUAGAGCCGGGUUGGGUUAA